Molecule: ribosomal RNA, 433 nt
Filed under: uncultured bacterium
Lineage: Bacteria
Description: partial 16S ribosomal RNA
Rfam family: Bacterial small subunit ribosomal RNA
Source: RNAcentral
GCGAACGCUGGCGGCAGGCCUAACACAUGCAAGUCGCACGAACCUUUCGGGGUUAGUGGCGGACGGGUGAGUCACACGUGGGAACGUGCCUUUAGGUUCGGAAUAACUCAGGGAAACUUGUGCUAAUACCGAAUGUGCCCUUCGGGGGAAAGAUUAAUCGCCUUUAGAGCGGCCCGCGUCUGAUUAGCUAGUUGGUUGAGGUAAUGGCUCACCAAGGCGACGAUCAGUAGCUGGUCUGAGAGGAUGAUCAGCCACAUUGGGACUGAGACACGGCCCAAACUCCUACGGGAGGCAGCAGUGGGGAAUCUUGCGCAAUGGGCGAAAGCCUGACGCAGCCAUGCCGCGUGAAUGAUGAAGGUCUUAGGAUUGUAAAAUUCUUUCACCGGGGACGAUAAUGACGGUACCCGGAGAAGAAGCCCCGGCUAACUUCGUG